RNAcentral lists this ribosomal RNA (459 nucleotides) under uncultured bacterium. RNAcentral's name for it is "bacterial SSU rRNA". It matches the Rfam family "Bacterial small subunit ribosomal RNA", at positions 50 to 507 of the family's 1533-position model. The record is from RNAcentral.
AAUACAUGCAAGUCAACUGAAGCACCGGUAGUAAUACUGGUGAGGAGGUGGCGCACGGGUGAGUAACACGUAGGUAAUCUGCCUUCAGGUCUGACAUAACCCCGAGAAAUCGGGGCUAAUAGCAGAUGAUGCAGCGGCUUGACAUCAAGACAGUUUGUUAAAGCUUCGGCGCCUGAAGAUGAGCCUGCGUCUGAUUAGCUAGUUGGCGGAGUAAUAGCCCACCAAGGCGACGAUCAGUAGCUGGUCUGAGAGGAUGAUCAGCCACACUGGAACUGAGACACGGUCCAGACUCCUACGGGAGGCAGCAGUAAGGAAUAUUGCUCAAUGGGAGAAGUCCUGAAGCAGCAACGCCGCGUGAGGGAUGAAGGGCUUUUGCUCGUAAACCUCUGUAGUGAGGGAAAAAUUUCCAUUCUAUGGAAUAUGAUGGUACCUCAAAAGUAAGCCCCGGCUAACUACGUG